Long non-coding RNA from Fukomys damarensis (Damara mole-rat), 688 nucleotides. RefSeq lists it as uncharacterized. The transcript is spliced from 3 exons. Lineage: Eukaryota; Metazoa; Chordata; Mammalia; Rodentia; Bathyergidae. The record is from RefSeq and is a predicted model, not a curated record.
AACGGGAGGCCACGGGCGUCAGGUGGAGGGUGCUGUGGUGUGGCCUGGGGACCGCAGCAGAGAUCUGAAAAGUGCAUGAACAACAGCAAGUAGAUUCUGCUCCAAGAAGGACACAGGACCUAGGAUUCCAGACAAGGACUCCAGGCCUCUGAGAGGUGAUAAGCUCAGAAAUCAGUUUGCUAGAGAGGUCAAAGGCAGGAGACGCAGGAAAAACUAGCAAUAGGAGCCGCAGAGGAAAAGUACCCAGGGACAGACGCAACACUGGUCACGGUUGAUUGGAGGCAUUCACACAGAGACAGCCUCUGGCUCCUGACAUGCGGUGGCCACCUUGGGCCCCGUGUCCCUCCCUGGCUGGUCCUCAUCUUUCUGUCCACCCUCCCGGGUGUGGAUUCACCUUCUCCCCAAGGCAUUCUCACAGCCAGGGCCUGCGCUGCCAACUGAGAAAAGACAGCAUAAACAGUGACGCGUGUGGGAGAGACAGUUGAUGAGUUUCCCACCUUCAAUUCCAGGAAUAACUCAAGACAAGCAGAGCAGGUGCUAAGAAUAAAUCUGCCUGGAGCACCUACGCCAGGCCGGGGCUCUGUUUUCUCGGCAGGGAGUGUCUCCCGCUCAGCAGGGAUGUUGCUUCUCCUCUGGAGUCAGCAGCAUGCACUCACUGUCGCCCUCUCAUCCUGGCUGGGUCACCCAA